UGCCAGCAGCCGCGGUAAUACGGAGGGUGCAAGCGUUGUUCGGAAUUAUUGGGCGUAAAGGGCGCGCAGGCGGUCUUGUCCGUCAGGUGUGAAAGCUCGGGGCUCAACCCCGGAAGUGCACUUGAAACAGCAAGACUUGAAUACGGUAGAGGAGAGAGGAAUUCCUGGUGUAGAGGUGAAAUUCGUAGAUAUCAGGAGGAACAACAGAGGCGAAGGCGGCUCUCUGGACAGUUACUGACGCUGAGGUGCGAAAGCGUGGGGAGCAAACAGGAUUAGAUA
RNAcentral lists this ribosomal RNA (279 nucleotides) under uncultured bacterium. RNAcentral's name for it is "partial 16S ribosomal RNA". It matches the Rfam family "Bacterial small subunit ribosomal RNA", at positions 506 to 784 of the family's 1533-position model. The record is from RNAcentral.